Molecule: ribosomal RNA, 732 nt
Filed under: uncultured Rhizophagus
Lineage: Eukaryota; Fungi; Glomeromycota; Glomeromycetes; Glomerales; Glomeraceae
Description: SSU rRNA
Rfam family: Eukaryotic small subunit ribosomal RNA
Source: RNAcentral
GGGUGUUAGGGCACGACACCGGAGAGGGAGCCUGAGAAACGGCUACCACAUCCAAGGAUGGCAGCAGGCGCGCAAAUUACCCAAUCCCGACACGGGGAGGUAGUGACAAUAAAUAACAAUACGGGGUUCUUUAGGAUCUCGUAAUUGGAAUGAGUACAAUUUAAAUCUCUUAACGAGGAACAAUUGGAGGGCAAGUCUGGUGCCAGCAGCCGCGGUAAUUCCAGCUCCAAUAGCGUAUAUUAAAGUUGUUGCAGUUAAAAAGCUCGUAGUUGAAUUUCGGGGUUAGUAGGUUGGUCAUGCCUCUGGUAUGUACUGGUCUCACUGAUUCCUCCUUCCUGAUGAACCUUAAUGCCAUUAAUUUGGUGUUUUGGGGAAUUUGGACUGUUACUUUGAAAAAAUUAGAGUGUUUAAAGCAAGCUAACGCUUGAAUACAUUAGCAUGGAAUAAUGAAAUAGGACGUUCGAUCCUAUUUUGUUGGUUUCUAGGAUUGACGUAAUGAUUAAUAGGGAUAGUUGGGGGCAUUAGUAUUCAAUUGUCAGAGGUGAAAUUCUUGGAUUUAUUGAAGACUAACUACUGCGAAAGCAUUUGCCAAGGAUGUUUUCAUUAAUCAAGAACGAAAGUUAGGGGAUCGAAGACGAUCAGAUACCGUCGUAGUCUUAACCAUAAACUAUGCCGACUAGGGAUCGGAUGAUGUUAAUUUUUUAAUGACUCAUUCGGCGCCUUACGGAACAG